Molecule: ribosomal RNA, 505 nt
Filed under: uncultured bacterium
Lineage: Bacteria
Description: bacterial SSU rRNA
Rfam family: Bacterial small subunit ribosomal RNA
Source: RNAcentral
CGAGUUUGAUCCUGGCUCAGGAUGAACGCUAGCGGCAGGCCUAACACAUGCAAGUCGAGGGGUAACAGGAGAGCUUGCUCUCGCUGACGACCGGCGCACGGGUGCGUAACGCGUAUACUAAUUUACCUUAUACUGGAGGAUAGCCCGGAGAAAUCCGGAUUAAUACUCCAUAACAUUACAGAAUCGCAUGAUUCCAUAAUUAAAGUUUCGGCGGUAUAAGAUGAGUAUGCGUCCUAUUAGUUAGUUGGUAAGGUAACGGCUUACCAAGACAGCGAUAGGUAGGGGGCCUGAGAGGGUUAUCCCCCACACUGGUACUGAGACACGGACCAGACUCCUACGGGAGGCAGCAGUGAGGAAUAUUGGACAAUGGAGGCAACUCUGAUCCAGCCAUCCCGCGUGCAGGAUUAAGGCCCUCUGGGUUGUAAACUGCUUUUAUUAGAGAAGAAAACCUCAGAUUUAUCUGAACUUGACGGUAUCUAAUGAAUAAGCACCGGCUAACUCCGUG